ACUCGCUAAAGGCAAACCACUUUAAAGAGUGGGACGCAAAGUCUUCUGCCUACGUUCCCUUCGGGGAAUAUGGUCGUGAGGCUGCCGAG
Molecule: non-coding RNA, 89 nt
Filed under: Desulfocurvibacter africanus
Lineage: Bacteria; Pseudomonadati; Thermodesulfobacteriota; Desulfovibrionia; Desulfovibrionales; Desulfovibrionaceae
Also listed under: 1 other name
Description: Desulfovibrio africanus c-di-GMP sequence
Rfam family: c-di-GMP-I riboswitch aptamer
About the family: GEMM was predicted in a large-scale screen for bacterial structured RNA regulatory elements.
Source: RNAcentral